GCUCAUCUAGCUCAGUCGGUAGAGCACUUCCUUGGUAAGGAAGAGGUCGCAGGUUCGAUUCCUGUGAUGAGCACCA
This 76-nucleotide transfer RNA is filed under the name Chiayiivirga flava. Its description in RNAcentral is "tRNA-Thr". It matches the Rfam family "tRNA". Rfam says of the family: Transfer RNA (tRNA) molecules are approximately 80 nucleotides in length. Their secondary structure includes four short double-helical elements and three loops (D, anti-codon, and T loops). Further hydrogen bonds mediate the characteristic L-shaped molecular structure. tRNAs have two regions of fundamental functional importance: the anti-codon, which is responsible for specific mRNA codon recognition, and the 3' end, to which the tRNAs corresponding amino acid is attached (by aminoacyl-tRNA synthetases). tRNAs cope with the degeneracy of the genetic code in two manners: having more than one tRNA (with a specific anti-codon) for a particular amino acid; and 'wobble' base-pairing, i.e. permitting non-standard base-pairing at the 3rd anti-codon position. RNAcentral also lists the same sequence under 7 other names. The record is from RNAcentral. Lineage: Bacteria; Pseudomonadati; Pseudomonadota; Gammaproteobacteria; Lysobacterales; Lysobacteraceae.